RNAcentral lists this ribosomal RNA (345 nucleotides) under uncultured bacterium. Its description in RNAcentral is "bacterial SSU rRNA". It matches the Rfam family "Bacterial small subunit ribosomal RNA", at positions 30 to 378 of the family's 1533-position model. The record is from RNAcentral.
AUUGAACGCUGGCGGCAUGCUUUACACAUGCAAGUCGAACGGUAACAGGCCGCAAGGUGCUGACGAGUGGCGAACGGGUGAGUAAUGUAUCGGAACGUGCCCAGUCGUGGGGGAUAACGCAGCGAAAGCUGCGCUAAUACCGCAUACGAUCUAUGGAUGAAAGCGGGGGACCGUAAGGCCUCGCGCGAUUGGAGCGGCCGAUAUCAGAUUAGGUAGUUGGUGGGGUAAAGGCUCACCAAGCCAACGAUCUGUAGCUGGUCUGAGAGGACGACCAGCCACACUGGGACUGAGACACGGCCCAGACUCCUACGGGAGGCAGCAGUGGGGAAUUUGGACAAUGGGCGC